UCCAGACUCCUACGGGAGGCAGCAGUGAGGAAUAUUGGUCAAUGGCCGAGAGGCUGAACCAGCCAAGUCGCGUGAGGGAAGAAUGUCCUAUGGAUUGUAAACCUCUUUUGUCAGGGAGCAAAGUCACCCACGUGUGGGUGUUGGAGAGUACCUGAAGAAAAAGCAUCGGCUAACUCCGUGCCAGCAGCCGCGGUAAUACGGAGGAUGCGAGCGUUAUCCGGAUUUAUUGGGUUUAAAGGGUGCGCAGGCGGCGCGGCAAGCCGGCGGUCAAAUCGCGGGGCUCAACCCCGCCCAGCCGUCGGAACUGCCGGGCUAGAGUGGGCGAGAAGUGCGCGGAAUGCGUGGUGUAGCGGUGAAAUGCAUAGAUAUCACGCAGAACUCCGAUUGCGAAGGCAGCGCACCGGCGCCCUACUGACGCUCAGGCACGAAAGCGUGGGUAUCGAACAGGAUUAGAUACCCCGGUAAUA
RNAcentral lists this ribosomal RNA (467 nucleotides) under uncultured bacterium. Its description in RNAcentral is "bacterial SSU rRNA". It matches the Rfam family "Bacterial small subunit ribosomal RNA", at positions 330 to 795 of the family's 1533-position model. The record is from RNAcentral.